RNAcentral lists this unclassified non-coding RNA (264 nucleotides) under Hevea brasiliensis (rubber tree). Lineage: Eukaryota; Viridiplantae; Streptophyta; Magnoliopsida; Malpighiales; Euphorbiaceae. The record is from RNAcentral.
GGAAACUUUACACCCUGUUUGGCAUGCUGGAAUUCAAAAUGCACAAUUCAUUUGUAAAAUGAAUUCCUAAAAUUCAUUUGAUAAAUUUUCAUGUUUGAUAGUAAUAUGCUAAAACUUGAAACAUGUAUUUAAAUUGAACUCCACAAAAGCAUAUUUGGAAUAAAUGCAAAAAAGAAGAUUCAUUUACGUUUAUUUCCUAAAAUAUCCUCGACAUACUAAUCUUAUAAAAUAAAUAAUAAUUUCAUAAUUAUAUUUAUUUUACUU